AUCUUCUUUGAAGGUAUGCUUAAGGAGGGGCUUGCGACACAUUAGUUAGUUGGCAGGGUAAAGGCCUACCAAGACUAUGAUGUGUAGCUGGACUGAGAGGUUGAACAGCCACAUUGGGACUGAGACACGGCCCAAACUCCUACGGGAGGCAGCAGUAGGGAAUUUUCGGCAAUGGAGGAAACUCUGACCGAGCAACGCCGCGUGAACGAUGAAGUACCUCGGUAUGUAAAGUUCUUUUAUUAAGGAAGAAAAAAGAGUGGAAAAACUCCCUUGACGGUACUUAAUGAAUAAGCCCCGGCUAAUUAUGUGCCAGCAGCCGCGGUAAUACAUAAGGGGCGAGCGUUAUCCGGAAUUAUUGGGCGUAAAGGGUGCGUAGGCGGUUUAAUAAGUCUAUAGUUUAAUUUCAGUGCUUAACGCUGUUGUGCUAUAGAAACUGUUUUACUAGAGUGAGAUAGAGGCAAGCGGAAUUCCAUGUGUAGCGGUAAAAUGCGUAAAUAUAUGGAGGAACACCAGAGGCGUAGGCGGCUUGCUGGGUCUUUACUGACGCUGAGGCACGAAAGCGUGGGGAGCAAACAGGAUUAGAUACCCUGGUAGUCCACGCCGUAAACGAUGAGUACUAAGUGUCGGGUAAAACUGGUACUGAAGUUAACACAUUAAGUACUCCGCCUGAGUAGUACGUACGCAAGUAUGAAACUUAAAGGAAUUGACGGGACUCCGCACAAGCGGUGGAUCAUGUUGUUUAAUUCGAAGAUACACGAAAAACCUUACCAGGUCUUGACAUUUUCUUGC
RNAcentral lists this ribosomal RNA (789 nucleotides) under Candidatus Phytoplasma pruni. RNAcentral's name for it is "bacterial SSU rRNA". It matches the Rfam family "Bacterial small subunit ribosomal RNA", at positions 193 to 995 of the family's 1533-position model. The record is from RNAcentral. Lineage: Bacteria; Bacillati; Mycoplasmatota; Mollicutes; Acholeplasmatales; Acholeplasmataceae.